This is a long non-coding RNA of Heterocephalus glaber (naked mole-rat), 315 nucleotides long. NCBI's taxonomy places the organism in Eukaryota, Metazoa, Chordata, Mammalia, Rodentia, Bathyergidae. The record is from Ensembl.
CUGAGGGUAAUUUUGUCCUUGUAAAAUGAACUAGGAAGCGUUUUCUUUUUUUCUAGUUCCUAGCUGUCCACAGUAGUCACAGAUGGGAGCAAUGAAAACAACUGGUUACACUCAGUUCUUUACAACACUUGAACCUGAACCUCCAUCAGUCCCAUAGACCCCAGAUGAGCAAGGCAUAUUUUGGGAUCUGAGAGUCUCAGCUGUCUCCAGCCAAAAAGAAGAUGUAUAUCUGCAGCUUGAAAUUAUGAGUCUAUUUGAAAACAUCUAACAGUAAUGAGACCGAUUACCAGAGGGGAAAAAUCACCAUCAAUUCUU